GGCACUUCUCGGGUGACACACCGUGAAAUCGGGCUCCCUCCUCUCUGGUUCCAGGUGCGUCACCCGAGAACCACA
This is a non-coding RNA of Myotis lucifugus (little brown bat), 75 nucleotides long. Lineage: Eukaryota; Metazoa; Chordata; Mammalia; Chiroptera; Vespertilionidae. The record is from Rfam.